RNAcentral lists this ribosomal RNA (1695 nucleotides) under Escherichia coli. RNAcentral's name for it is "bacterial LSU rRNA". It matches the Rfam family "Bacterial large subunit ribosomal RNA", at positions 1218 to 2784 of the family's 2925-position model. The record is from RNAcentral. Lineage: Bacteria; Pseudomonadati; Pseudomonadota; Gammaproteobacteria; Enterobacterales; Enterobacteriaceae.
GCGUUGUUGGGUAGGGGAGCGUUCUGUAAGCCUGUGAAGGUGUGCUGUGAGGCAUGCUGGAGGUAUCAGAAGUGCGAAUGCUGACAUAAGUAACGAUAAAGCGGGUGAAAAGCCCGCUCGCCGGAAGACCAAGGGUUCCUGUCCAACGUUAAUCGGGGCAGGGUGAGUCGACCCCUAAGGCGAGGCCGAAAGGCGUAGUCGAUGGGAAACAGGUUAAUAUUCCUGUACUUGGUGUUACUGCGAAGGGGGGACGGAGAAGGCUAUGUUGGCCGGGCGACGGUUGUCCCGGUUUAAGCGUGUAGGCUGGUUUUCCAGGCAAAUCCGGAAAAUCAAGGCUGAGGCGUGAUGACGAGGCACUACGGUGCUGAAGCAACAAAUGCCCUGCUUCCAGGAAAAGCCUCUAAGCAUCAGGUAACAUCAAAUCGUACCCCAAACCGACACAGGUGGUCAGGUAGAGAAUACCAAGGCGCUUGAGAGAACUCGGGUGAAGGAACUAGGCAAAAUGGUGCCGUAACUUCGGGAGAAGGCACGCUGAUAUGUAGGUGAAGUCCCUUGCGGAUGGAGCUGAAAUCAGUCGAAGAUACCAGCUGGCUGCAACUGUUUAUUAAAAACACAGCACUGUGCAAACACGAAAGUGGACGUAUACGGUGUGACGCCUGCCCGGUGCCGGAAGGUUAAUUGAUGGGGUCAGCGCAANGCUGGCUGCAACUGUUUAUUAAAAACACAGCACUGUGCAAACACGAAAGUGGACGUAUACGGUGUGACGCCUGCCCGGUGCCGGAAGGUUAAUUGAUGGGGUUAGCGGUAACGCGAAGCUCUUGAUCGAAGCCCCGGUAAACGGCGGCCGUAACUAUAACGGUCCUAAGGUAGCGAAAUUCCUUGUCGGGUAAGUUCCGACCUGCACGAAUGGCGUAAUGAUGGCCAGGCUGUCUCCACCCGAGACUCAGUGAAAUUGAACUCGCUGUGAAGAUGCAGUGUACCCGCGGCAAGACGGAAAGACCCCGUGAACCUUUACUAUAGCUUGACACUGAACAUUGAGCCUUGAUGUGUAGGAUAGGUGGGAGGCUUUGAAGUGUGGACGCCAGUCUGCAUGGAGCCGACCUUGAAAUACCACCCUUUAAUGUUUGAUGUUCUAACGUUGACCCGUAAUCCGGGUUGCGGACAGUGUCUGGUGGGUAGUUUGACUGGGGCGGUCUCCUCCUAAAGAGUAACGGAGGAGCACGAAGGUUGGCUAAUCCUGGUCGGACAUCAGGAGGUUAGUGCAAUGGCAUAAGCCAGCUUGACUGCGAGCGUGACGGCGCGAGCAGGUGCGAAAGCAGGUCAUAGUGAUCCGGUGGUUCUGAAUGGAAGGGCCAUCGCUCAACGGAUAAAAGGUACUCCGGGGAUAACAGGCUGAUACCGCCCAAGAGUUCAUAUCGACGGCGGUGUUUGGCACCUCGAUGUCGGCUCAUCACAUCCUGGGGCUGAAGUAGGUCCCAAGGGUAUGGCUGUUCGCCAUUUAAAGUGGUACGCGAGCUGGGUUUAGAACGUCGUGAGACAGUUCGGUCCCUAUCUGCCGUGGGCGCUGGAGAACUGAGGGGGGCUGCUCCUAGUACGAGAGGACCGGAGUGGACGCAUCACUGGUGUUCGGGUUGUCAUGCCAAUGGCACUGCCCGGUAGCUAAAUGCGGAAGAGAUAAGUGCUGAAAGCAUCUAA